AGUGAACGCUGGCGGUAGGCCUAACACAUGCAAGUCGAACGGCAGCACAGUAAGAGCUUGCUCUUACGGGUGGCGAGUGGCGGACGGGUGAGGAAUACAUCGGAAUCUACUUUUUCGUGGGGGAUAACGUAGGGAAACUUACGCUAAUACCGCAUACGACCUACCGGUGAAAGCAGGGGAUCUUCGGACCUUGCGCGAUUGAAUGAGCCGAUGUCGGAUUAGCUAGUUGGCGGGGUAAAGGCCCACCAAGCCGACGAUCCGUUGCUGGUCUGAGAGGAUGAUCGGCCACACUGGACCUGAGACACGGUCCAGAGGUAUACGGGAGGAAGCAGUGGGGAAUAUUGUACAAUGGUCGCAAGCCUGAUCCAGCCAGACCGCGUGGGUGAAGAAGGCCUUCGGGUUGUAAAGCCCUUUUGUUGGGAAAGAAAAGCAGCAGGUUAAUACCCCGCUGUUCUGACGGUACCCAAAGAAUAAGCACCGGCUAACUUCGUG
This 492-nucleotide ribosomal RNA is filed under the name uncultured bacterium. Its description in RNAcentral is "partial 16S ribosomal RNA". It matches the Rfam family "Bacterial small subunit ribosomal RNA", at positions 29 to 507 of the family's 1533-position model. The record is from RNAcentral.